AGCGGCGUAGCACAAGGGCAAUGCGGCAGACUUUGACUCUGAUGAAUGCGCGUUCGAAUCGCGCCGCCGCUUCCA
RNAcentral lists this transfer RNA (75 nucleotides) under Caudoviricetes sp. RNAcentral describes it as "tRNA-Gln". It matches the Rfam family "tRNA". From Rfam's summary of the family: Transfer RNA (tRNA) molecules are approximately 80 nucleotides in length. Their secondary structure includes four short double-helical elements and three loops (D, anti-codon, and T loops). Further hydrogen bonds mediate the characteristic L-shaped molecular structure. tRNAs have two regions of fundamental functional importance: the anti-codon, which is responsible for specific mRNA codon recognition, and the 3' end, to which the tRNAs corresponding amino acid is attached (by aminoacyl-tRNA synthetases). tRNAs cope with the degeneracy of the genetic code in two manners: having more than one tRNA (with a specific anti-codon) for a particular amino acid; and 'wobble' base-pairing, i.e. permitting non-standard base-pairing at the 3rd anti-codon position. Lineage: Duplodnaviria; Heunggongvirae; Uroviricota; Caudoviricetes. The record is from RNAcentral.